Ceratitis capitata (Mediterranean fruit fly) is the source of this 392-nucleotide long non-coding RNA. RefSeq lists it as uncharacterized. The transcript is spliced from 2 exons. The record is from RefSeq and is a predicted model, not a curated record. Lineage: Eukaryota; Metazoa; Arthropoda; Insecta; Diptera; Tephritidae.
CAAAUCCACCGCCAAAUACCAUGGGCUGACUGUGCGUACUUAAUCCACUCAAGCUAUCUCUACGGUGUCUCAAACCCCAAUUGGUGUUUUUUUUUAUCCGGGAAAUAUGUAUAGAGAGAGAGCGGAAGAUAAGAACAAAAAGGGAAAAGACAUAGAAACAAAUAUGAAAAUUAAAAAUAUACAAAACGGAAAAUAAAAUUUACAACAAUAAAUACAUACAUCAUAAAUUACAAAGUACUAAACUGCAAUUACUUACAACUACAAAAUACAAGUUACAAAUACAUUGGAGAAGGAAAAAAGGCGGAAGAGAAGUGGGCGUAAAUAAAAAACUAUAUUUUUAUACCGACUGACAAAUAAAAAAAAGCUGCACUUAAUAUUUAAUGCCAAGUAAA